GUGCUUUCUUCGGUAGCACGGGUACUGGAAUGAUGAAGAGAAUUUUAGCGUGGCCUCCGUACAAGGAUGAUGUGCACAUCCAUGUAAUGUUAUAUUUUUGC
Molecule: small nuclear RNA, 101 nt
Filed under: Sorex araneus (European shrew)
Lineage: Eukaryota; Metazoa; Chordata; Mammalia; Eulipotyphla; Soricidae
Source: RNAcentral